CGGCCGCUGCCUACCGUCGACGCGACGACUACGAUGGGAUGGGCGGCACUCUGCCACACAACUCCGCGCCGGUCAGAUCCGAGAUGCCCCAACCUUCUCUCCACCGUCCCCGCCACGGAUCCAAUGAGUCCAUCAUCACCACCACCCCUCGUCCCUCCCCUGCGAAAUCAACGCCGGGACGUCCAGCAGGGCGACAAGGGUGCCCGGGUCAACGCCCUCCUGCCCUCCUCUGACGUCCUCCUGCAAAGUCAUCCACCCGUUGCACCCAUCAUCCACUGUGUAGCCGGAGUUUGGCGUAGCCCACAUCUACAGCGGGGGCAGCUCGCGGCCCGCUUGGGUGCAGUUUCGGUAGCUGUUAUUUGCAAGUAUAUUUCCCUGAUCUCACAUUUUUUUGUCUGGACCCAUUUUCAUCUACGUGCAGUUCGCUUCGUAGGCGUCCGCUAUUCACUUCUUUUGGAAAAAACAAAAAAAGCUCUUUAAGGGUGGCCAUGCUGCCAUUUGCAGUUCACUGGAGGGGAAGAAAAGGUGCUCUCGUCAGGGGGAGUCGAUGCCGUGACCUUGCAGUACACAGCGAGCCACGCUGUAAUCACGUUGCUCGCGUGUACCAUGAAGUCCACUGUUUGCUCUCGUUUGUGACAAAUUUUUGGUGGUUAAAUUCUGUUUAUGAAAAACACAGAGGAGUACACUUUCUUUUUGGAUGUGCUUCGCUUGUACUGUGCGUUGGUUAACUUCCAUUUUUUUAAAAAUUUUGCACUUGCCAUGUUCAGUUUCAGAGAAGUUCUAAACUGUUGUAGAUUUGGAAUGGGCAUAUGUCGUGCAGUUUGUGAUCCAGGGUGGUGCAGAUGAUAUGCAGAUCGACACCAUGGUCAAAGAAGUGCGCGGCGUGGUGCAGUACGCAACGCCCAUAUUCCACUUAUUUUUCUUGAACUGGCUAGUGUUGAUUUUGUGUAUAUGUAUGUGUAUGUGGUUGUGUAAAACAACGGUGGGAUGUAUUGUGUAAAUGAGCAUCAUCAGCGGCCAUAGGAUAGUGGUGCAAAACAAAAUUGUGAGUGUAGUUUGGUUACAUCAACACCUACAGUGUGUUUGGUCGUCGGAUGUGGUUUACUUUUAAAAGUGAUGCUGUUCACUUGUGCUCAACAUGAAA
Molecule: ribosomal RNA, 1144 nt
Filed under: Triticum aestivum (bread wheat)
Lineage: Eukaryota; Viridiplantae; Streptophyta; Magnoliopsida; Poales; Poaceae
Description: partial small subunit ribosomal RNA
Source: RNAcentral